Molecule: small RNA, 187 nt
Filed under: Pragia fontium
Lineage: Bacteria; Pseudomonadati; Pseudomonadota; Gammaproteobacteria; Enterobacterales; Budviciaceae
Description: Manganese sequence
Rfam family: Manganese Mn2+ riboswitch aptamer (yybP-ykoY)
About the family: This RNA was originally discovered in E. coli during a large scale screen and was named SraF. The family was later found to exist upstream of related families of protein genes in many bacteria, including the the yybP and ykoK genes in B. subtilis.
Source: RNAcentral
CCGCCCGUCAUUGGGGAGUAGCCGGUUUUUGUUCAUCCAACAAAAGCGCCUGUAUCAACAUGCUCGCUUGAAUUACCUAAAAUUCAGCGUGGUGCAGGCAACCGUCAGGUAGGCGAGACCAUAGACAUGGUGGGCACUCUGUAGGUUUAGAGGUGCCUUGCAUGUAUAUGUUGCUCAGCCGGAGACU